RNAcentral lists this long non-coding RNA (1297 nucleotides) under Coffea arabica (coffee). RNAcentral describes it as "long non-coding RNA (CARA_LNC001345)". Lineage: Eukaryota; Viridiplantae; Streptophyta; Magnoliopsida; Gentianales; Rubiaceae. The record is from RNAcentral.
GGCUCCUAGAAAAAAAAAUCACACACUAAAACUCCCUCUCAGACAGACCACACACAAAAAAAAACACCAUCACACACACUCACACAAAAAGAAAAGCUCUCUCCCGGCUUCCCCCCUGCUCCUACUCUCCCACAAAUCAAAUAGAAAAAAAUAAAACAAGAAAAGGGAAAAGACAAAGUCAGAGGAGGAAGAAAAGGAAAUCGCUAGUGGCUUAGGCCAACACCACUGCUUUCUCUGGAAAUCACCAUUAGUCACCAUAAUUGAUUAACCUCGCCACCAUAAAGCCUCGGUGAAGUUCUUUCUCCCAUUUACAGCUUUGAUUAAGAGUUUAUGCUAGAACUUCCAUUGGCCUAUGUUUUCAUUUCCUUUGUUUGCUCAUUCAAUUGGAGAGUUUUCACAUUAACAUUGAUUUUUCUUUCUCUUCCUUGCAAUGAAUAUGUCAGCCAUUAGUAAACUUUUGGCCUGAAAUCACAAUGAGUAUUUUGGUAUAACUUUUAUAAUUUUUGGGGAAGGUUUGAAUGAUUUUAGAAAAGAUAAUAACUGGCUGUGGUUUGCUCCUUUGAGCGCUUUCCGUGCAUUUUUGUGAAAAAACCAAACCUAAAAACGGAUUUUACGCGAAAAAUCGAGUAGAGAGGUGUAUUUUGAUGAAUUUUGUGACCGAAAGUAUUGCCAACGAUCAGAAGCCGACGACGGCACUAGUGUCUGCCAUGGCUGCCGACAACUAGAGCUUUCAGUCCAUUGGAGAAGAAAAAGAGAGAAAGGAAGAAGAAGACGAAAAAGAAGAGAAAGAAAAGAGAAUGGGCAUGUUUCUUUUAUUUUCAUAUGGACUGAAAUUCUUUUUUGUUGGUUGGGCUUGUACUAUUUUUUCUUGGAUUUGCAACAUUGAGUUUUGAGACUUAAGCUCAUUUUUUAAUUAGGUUGAAUUGUAAAAAUGGUUUGGGUCGGGUUGUCUUUUAAAUAAGAUGAUUUUGCUUAAUUUUCUUGGGCUGAAGUGACCAGCCCAAAUACCUAAAAAUGACCCAAUAUAUGUUUAUGCAAUCAGAAUCUGAAUUUUGCAACUUGAUCCCUGAUCUUUUUGAGUAUUUUUAUUGUGGCCCUAAAUCUUUUGAUUUCUUUCACCUAGAUCCUUAAUUUAAUUACAUUUUGGUCCCUAAACUUUAUUUUUCUUUUGAUUUUGACCCCUAAUCACUUUAAAAUUAUGAUUUGAUCCCAAACUUCUCAAUUUUUACAAUUAGGUCCCUAAUUUUCAUUAUUUCAUAAUUACAAUUAUUUAUCUUCUUUAAAUUGCAAAUCAUGC